This 473-nucleotide ribosomal RNA is filed under the name Perissopalla ipeani. RNAcentral describes it as "SSU rRNA". It matches the Rfam family "Eukaryotic small subunit ribosomal RNA", at positions 554 to 1034 of the family's 1831-position model. Lineage: Eukaryota; Metazoa; Arthropoda; Arachnida; Trombidiformes; Trombiculidae. The record is from RNAcentral.
GGCAAGUCUGGUGCCAGCAGCCGCGGUAAUUCCAGCUCCAAUAGCGUAUAUUAAAGUUGUUGCGGUUAAAAAGCUCGUAGUUGGAUCUCAGCUCACGCUAAGUGGUCCAUUUAAUGGUGGUUACUACUUAGCUGAGCAUUUUACAGAUUUGUCUCUUGAUGCUCUUCACCGAGUGUCAAGAGUGGUCUGUACGUUUACUUUGAAAAAAUUAGAGUGCUUAAAGCAGGCAACUCGCCCGAAUAAUCUUGCAUGGAAUAAUGGAAUAGGACCUUGGUUCUAUUUUGUUGGUCUCCGGAAUCUGAGGUAAUGAUUAAGAGGGACAGACGGGGGCAUUCGUAUUGCGCCGCUAGAGGUGAAAUUCUUGGACCGGCGCAAGACGAACUACAGCGAAAGCAUUUGCCAAGAAUGUUUUCAUAAUCAAGAACGAAAGUAGAGUUCGAAGGCGAUCAGAUACCGCCCUAGUUCUAACCAUA